UGGGGAAUUUUGGACAAUGGGCGAAAGCCUGAUCCAGCAAUGCCGCGUGUGUGAAGAAGGCCUUCGGGUUGUAAAGCACUUUUGUCCGGAAAGAAAUCCUCUGGGUUAAUACCUCGGGGGGAUGACGGUACCGGAAGAAUAAGCACCGGCUAACUACGUGCCAGCAGCCGCGGUAAUACGUAGGGUGCAAGCGUUAAUCGGAAUUACUGGGCGUAAAGCGUGCGCAGGCGGUUUUGUAAGACGGAUGUGAAGUCCCCGGGCUUAACCUGGGAACUGCAUUCGUGACUGCAAGGCUAGAGUAUGGCAGAGGGGGGUAGAAUUCCACGUGUAGCAGUGAAAUGCGUAGAGAUGUGGAGGAAUACCGAUGGCGAAGGCAGCCCCCUGGGCCAAUACUGACGCUCAUGCACGAAAGCGUGGGGAGCAAACAGGAUUAGAUACCCUGGUAGUCCACGCCCUAAACGAUGUCAACUAGUUGUUGGGGAUUCAUUUCCUUAGUAACGUAGCUAACGCGUGAAGUUGACCGCCUGGGGAGUACGGUCGCAAGAUUAAAACUUAAAGGAAUUGACGGGG
RNAcentral lists this ribosomal RNA (570 nucleotides) under uncultured bacterium. RNAcentral describes it as "partial 16S ribosomal RNA". It matches the Rfam family "Bacterial small subunit ribosomal RNA", at positions 355 to 918 of the family's 1533-position model. The record is from RNAcentral.